This 236-nucleotide long non-coding RNA is filed under the name Gossypium barbadense (sea-island cotton). RNAcentral's name for it is "long non-coding RNA (GBAR_LNC000595)". The record is from RNAcentral. Lineage: Eukaryota; Viridiplantae; Streptophyta; Magnoliopsida; Malvales; Malvaceae.
AAAAAAUUGAAAUGUGGGUGCAUUUCCAAGCCCCAUCUGCAUUCCCCCAAACUUAAAGUUUGCAUUGUCCUCAAUGCAUUAACAUGGAAAUGUAAUGACAAUAAAAAUGCAAUGACAAUGUGUACUUAUCAAAAUGAAACUUACAGCUACAUGUAAUGCACGAAUACUAUAGCUAAAGCUUAAAAUAAACUAACUCAGUUAUCAUCAGCCAUCGAUGUGGCUGCACGAUGUUUCUU